Molecule: ribosomal RNA, 492 nt
Filed under: uncultured bacterium
Lineage: Bacteria
Description: partial 16S ribosomal RNA
Rfam family: Bacterial small subunit ribosomal RNA
Source: RNAcentral
AUUGAACGCUGGCGGCAUGCUUUACACAUGCAAGUCGAACGGUAACAGGCCUUCGGGUGCUGACGAGUGGCGAACGGGUGAGUAAUGCAUCGGAACGUGCCCAGAGGUGGGGGAUAACGCAGCGAAAGCUGUGCUAAUACCGCAUGUGAUCUGAGGAUGAAAGCGGGGGACCAGGCAGCAAUGUUUGGCCUCGCGCCUUUGGAGCGGCCGAUGUCAGAUUAGGUAGUUGGUGGGGUAAAGGCCUACCAAGCCGACGAUCUGUAGCUGGUCUGAGAGGACGACCAGCCACACUGGGACUGAGACACGGCCCAGACUCCUACGGGAGGCAGCAGUGGGGAAUUUUGGACAAUGGGCGCCAGCCUGAUCCAGCAAUGCCGCGUGCGGGAAGAAGGCCUUCGGGUUGUAAACCGCUUUUGUACGGAACGAAAAGGCUCUGGCUAAUACCUGGGGCUGAUGACGGUACCGUAAGAAUAAGCACCGGCUAACUACGUG